GGGAGCAACAAAAGCACUGGGAAUGUACCUAAACUCAUUAGAUCUUAGAAGAUAAGCAGGGUUGGACCUGCUUAAUACUUAGAUAAGAUACCAGGUGAAAAUACCAAGUCUUAGUAGGCU
RNAcentral lists this ribosomal RNA (120 nucleotides) under Phascolarctos cinereus (koala). Lineage: Eukaryota; Metazoa; Chordata; Mammalia; Diprotodontia; Phascolarctidae. The record is from RNAcentral.